AGAAUUUCCAGCAAGGCCUAAUUCCACUGAAAUCAGUGCCUCUACCAGCCACCUGUAGAUGUAUUAUGGACUUUGAUUGAGUUCUUCUUUCCUCUGGAGAAGGAAUGGUAGAUGAAUCCGUGGACAGUUUCCAUUCAUAUGACUUGUCAGCAUUGAACACAUAACACCUCUUUUUGCAUUACCUCACAGAGUGGGGGCUUUACCAGGGUCUAUUAUUCAGUGUCCUGCCAUGUGCUACACAGUUCAUUAUUUGCUUGAGGAAAAAGAGCAAGCCCUGAUAGUAAGCGGGUAAGGGGACAUGCUUCCCAAGAGUAACUUACUCUGUUUGUACUCUCAAUACCUUGCAGAGUGCUAGCCAUGUCAUGUGUGCUUAGUAAAACCUCAGUUAAAUCUAUAAACUUUAAGAACUUUGGAACAAAAGUAGUAGAAAAAGUAAGGGAGUUUUAGCAAGUGGGUAAAUGAUGAAAGUAAUCCUGUGUUGAAACUCAACCAGAUGAAUGUUGUUACCAAACUUCUGUACGGUCCACUAGGUCCAAAAAUAAAUUUUUGUGGUACAUAGGUAGUAGAAGUGGCCAGAUUAGCCAUAGACAGAUCUUGUUUACAUAUAAAGGCACAAUAAAAACUAUUGUCCAAGGCAGGGGAGAACAAUGCAUAAAAUCUUUAAUAUAUCUAUACUAGUUCUU
Molecule: long non-coding RNA, 683 nt
Filed under: Homo sapiens (human)
Lineage: Eukaryota; Metazoa; Chordata; Mammalia; Primates; Hominidae
Description: HSALNT0247082
Source: RNAcentral